This 445-nucleotide ribosomal RNA is filed under the name uncultured bacterium. RNAcentral describes it as "partial 16S ribosomal RNA". It matches the Rfam family "Bacterial small subunit ribosomal RNA", at positions 331 to 793 of the family's 1533-position model. The record is from RNAcentral.
CCAGACUCCUACGGGAGGCAGCAGUGGGGAAUAUUGCACAAUGGGGGGAACCCUGAUGCAGCGACGCCGCGUGAGCGAAGAAGUCAUUCGUGACGUAAAGCCCUAUCAGCAGGGAAGAAAAUGACGGUACCUGACUAAGAAGCCCCGGCUAAAUACGUGCCAGCAGCCGCGGUAAUACGUAUGGAGCAAGCGUUAUCCGGAUUUACUGGGUGUAAAGGGAGCGUAGGCGGCCUGCCAAGUCUGAUGUGAAAUGCCGGGGCUCAACCCCGGGGCUGCAUUGGAAACUGGCAGGCUGGAGUGUCGGAGAGGCAGGCGGAAUUCCUAGUGUAGCGGUGAAAUGCGUAGAUAUUAGGAGGAACACCAGUGGCGAAGGCGGCCUGCUGGACGAUGACUGACGCUGAGGCUCGAAAGCGUGGGGAGCAAACAGGAUUAGAUACCCUGGUAA